RNAcentral lists this unclassified non-coding RNA (343 nucleotides) under soil metagenome. RNAcentral describes it as "partial contains 5.8S ribosomal RNA, internal transcribed spacer 2, and large subunit ribosomal RNA". The stretch from base 1 to 120 matches the Rfam family "5.8S ribosomal RNA", at positions 35 to 154 of the family's 154-position model. The record is from RNAcentral.
GAUGAAGAACGUAGCGAAAUGCGAUAAGUAAUGUGAAUUGCAGAAUUCAGUGAAUCAUCGAAUCUUUGAACGCACAUUGCGACCGCUAGUAUUCUGGCGGGCAUGCCUGUCCGAGCGUCAUUUCAACCCUCAAGCCCCCGGGCUUGGUGUUGGGGAUCGGCGAGCCUCCGCGCCCGCCGUCCCCUAAAUCUAGUGGCGGUCUCGCUGUAGCUUCCUCUGCGUAGUAGCACACCUCGCACUGGGAAACAGCGCGGCCACGCCGUUAAACCCCCAACUUCUGAACGUUUGACCUCGGAUCAGGUAGGAAUACCCGCUGAACUUAAGCAUAUCAAUAAGCGGAGGA